This 524-nucleotide ribosomal RNA is filed under the name Tintinnopsis brasiliensis. RNAcentral describes it as "eukaryotic LSU rRNA". The stretch from base 134 to 285 matches the Rfam family "5.8S ribosomal RNA". Lineage: Eukaryota; Ciliophora; Spirotrichea; Tintinnida; Codonellidae. The record is from RNAcentral.
GUAGGUGAACCUGCGGAAGGAUCAUUAUAGUUUUCCAAACUUUUACUCAACCAAGCCGAUUUGUUGCCAGGCGAAAGCCUAGCAGCUAACAACCUAACCUAAAGAAAGCUAACUAAGCUUAAAUCUAAAACCAAAUCCUCAACGAUGGAUAUCUAGGUUCCUACUACGAUGAAGAACGCAGCGAAGUGCGAUAAGCAAUGCGAAUUGCAGAGCCGAGAGUCAUCAGAUUUUUGAACGUAACUGACACCGGAGGGUUCUCCCUUCGGUAUGCUUCUUUCAGUGUGUGAUUCUCUCCUCACCCAAACCUUAAUGCGAUAGAUGCCCUUCUAUUGCUAAGCGCGAAAGCACUCUGAACCCUGCAGCGGAAGCCUCCGGGCCGACGCACUCAAUGCAGUAGUCACAUUCUCAAAUGUGAACUCAUUGAGCGUAGAGUCAGUGCAGUUUACUGCCAGUGCUUAGACACCUAAAUUUCUCAGCAUCUGAAAUGAAGUAGGACCACCCGCUGAACUUAAGCAUUAUCAGUA